RNAcentral lists this long non-coding RNA (492 nucleotides) under Elaeis guineensis (African oil palm). Its description in RNAcentral is "long non-coding RNA (EGUI_LNC043626)". The record is from RNAcentral. Lineage: Eukaryota; Viridiplantae; Streptophyta; Magnoliopsida; Arecales; Arecaceae.
UAUGAGUUUAAGGGUAAGUAACUCUUUACCAAUUGCAUCUCAUGCAACUCUCAACAUAACUGUUGCCUUUAAAAUACUUAUAACCUUGUGGAUAGCAUAACAAACUAUAAUAUUUUAGUUAAGUCAUACCUUUCAAUCCUAUAUGGUCAUAUAUGAAUAAUACUAUCUUUAUGGAUAGCACAACAAGAUAGCACUACCAAAAUAUGCCAUAAGCAUCACGUAGUCAAUAUCAUAUCAAUUCCUAUAGCAAGCAUUGUGGAUAGCACAACAAACUCACUAUAGUUUUUGACAUACUCUAUUGGCUUAGUAUGAGCUAAGUACCAUUAGCUUCAUCAUAUACCAAGAUAGUAUCAAAUCAGUCUCUACAGUAAGCCUUAUGGAUAGCACAGCAAGCCUAUUAUGAUUCUUGACAUAAUACUGGUUUGGUAUGAAGGAAGGCAAGGAUAGUGUUCUUAACACUUCGUCACUAUGACUUAAUAUAAUUUAAAUGAG